GGCGUCGACCGGCGCACGGGUGAGUAACGCGUAUCCAACCUGCCUCUGACUGAGGGAUAACCCGUCGAAAGUCGGCCUAAUACCUCAUGGCAUCGUCUGCGGGCAUCCAACGACGAUUAAAGAUUUCAUCGGUCAGGGAUGGGGAUGCGUCUGAUUAGCUUGUUGGCGGGGUAACGGCCCACCAAGGCUACGAUCAGUAGGGGUUCUGAGAGGAAGGUCCCCCACAUUGGAACUGAGACACGGUCCAAACUCCUACGGGAGGCAGCAGUGAGGAAUAUUGGUCAAUGGGCGGGAGCCUGAACCAGCCAAGUAGCGUGCAGGAUGACGGCCCUAUGGGUUGUAAACUGCUUUUAUGCGGGGAUAAAGUGAGGGACGUGUCCUUCAUUGCAGGUACCGCAUGAAUAAGGACCGGCUAAUUCCGUGCCAGCAGCCGCGGUAAUACGGAAGGUCCGGGCGUUAUCCGGAUUUAUUGGGUUUAAAGGGAGCGUAGGCCGUGGAUUAAGCGUGUUGUGAAAUGCAGGUGCUCAACGUCUGCACUGCAGCGCGAACUGGUCCACUUGAGUGUGCGCAACGCAGGCGGAAUUCGUCGUGUAGCGGUGAAAUGCUUAGAUAUGACGAAGAACUCCGAUUGCGAAGGCAGCUUGCGGGAGCACAACUGACGCUGAAGCUCGAAAGUGCGGGUAUCGAACAGGAUUAGAUACCCUG
This 705-nucleotide ribosomal RNA is filed under the name Prevotella sp. HGA0214. RNAcentral's name for it is "bacterial SSU rRNA". It matches the Rfam family "Bacterial small subunit ribosomal RNA", at positions 87 to 789 of the family's 1533-position model. RNAcentral also lists the same sequence under 1 other name. Lineage: Bacteria; Pseudomonadati; Bacteroidota; Bacteroidia; Bacteroidales; Prevotellaceae. The record is from RNAcentral.